GGGGCUUUAACGGUUUCGACAGGUUGGCGAAAGCUACUCUGUGAUUCAGGUCGAGAGCGAGUCAUCUCUCGGAAAUCAAAGACUCAAAAAAAAAGUAAAUGCGAACAAUAUCGUAAAAUUUGCUCGUCGGGAAGCUCUAGU
RNAcentral lists this transfer-messenger RNA (141 nucleotides) under Dolichospermum sp. RNAcentral describes it as "partial transfer-messenger RNA". It matches the Rfam family "transfer-messenger RNA", at positions 1 to 125 of the family's 374-position model. Rfam says of the family: Bacterial tmRNA, also known as 10Sa RNA or SsrA, is named for its dual tRNA and mRNA-like properties. The record is from RNAcentral. Lineage: Bacteria; Bacillati; Cyanobacteriota; Cyanophyceae; Nostocales; Aphanizomenonaceae.